Molecule: ribosomal RNA, 176 nt
Filed under: uncultured bacterium
Lineage: Bacteria
Description: partial 16S ribosomal RNA
Rfam family: Bacterial small subunit ribosomal RNA
Source: RNAcentral
GUCGGAAUUGCUAGUAAUCGCAGAUCAGCAUGCUGCGGUGAAUACGUUCCCGGGCCUUGUACACACCGCCCGUCACACCAUGAGAGUCGAUAACACCCGAAGCCUGUAGUCUAACCAUAAGGAGGACGCAGUCGAAGGUGGGAUUGAUAAUUAGGGUGAAGUCGUAACAAGGUAUC